This 342-nucleotide unclassified non-coding RNA is filed under the name soil metagenome. RNAcentral's name for it is "partial contains 5.8S ribosomal RNA, internal transcribed spacer 2, and large subunit ribosomal RNA". The stretch from base 1 to 120 matches the Rfam family "5.8S ribosomal RNA", at positions 35 to 154 of the family's 154-position model. The record is from RNAcentral.
GAUGAAGAACGCAGCGAAAUGCGAUAAGUAGUGUGAAUUGCAGAAUUCAGUGAAUCAUCGAAUCUUUGAACGCACAUUGCGCCCGCCAGCAUUCUGGCGGGCAUGCCUGUUCGAGCGUCAUUUCAACCCUCGAGCCCCCCCGGGGGCCUCGGUGUUGGGGGACGGCACACCAGCCGCCCCCGAAAUGCAGUGGCGACCUCGCCGCAGCCUCCCCUGCGUAGUAGCACACACCUCGCACCGGAGCGCGGAGACGGUCACGCCGUAAAACGCCCAACUUCUUAGAGUUGACCUCGUAUCAGGUAGGAAUACCCGCUGAACUUAAGCAUAUCAAUAAGCGGAGGA